This 303-nucleotide ribosomal RNA is filed under the name uncultured bacterium. RNAcentral describes it as "partial 16S ribosomal RNA". It matches the Rfam family "Bacterial small subunit ribosomal RNA", at positions 507 to 808 of the family's 1533-position model. The record is from RNAcentral.
AGCAGCAGCCGCGGGAAUACGUAGGUGGCAAGCGUUGUCCGGAAUUAUUGGGCGUAAAGCGAGCGCAGGCGGUUAGAUAAGUCUGAAGCUAAAGGCUGUGGCUUAACCAUAGUACGCUUUGGAAACUGUUUAACUUGAGUGCAAGAGGGGAGAGUGGAAUUCCAUGUGUAGCGGUGAAAUGCGUAGAUAUAUGGAGGAACACCGGUGGCGAAAGCGGCUCUCUGGCUUGUAACUGACGCUGAGGCUCGAAAGCGUGGGGAGCAAACAGGAUUAGAUACCCCCGUAGUCCCUGUCUCUUAUACC